UAAUAUUAUCAUCUACAAAGAAAAUAUUGUCAAUAUUCCUUGCAACAGAGGUAGAUUGUACGUUACCCGCUUCGUUUAUUUUAUCUAGAAAUAAAUUUAGUUAGAAAUAUAAAUCAACUAAAAUUCGAACUUUAAAUAUCGGGUACUAACCAUCAAAUCCUUUGCCACUUGCUCUAGGGACGGUCGGUAACUAUAAAUAUUCUUUUUUGAACUAUACACAAACAUAUCCCUUUUCUUUUUCAUUUUUUUAAAACAUUUGAAACUAUCAAGCACUUACACGACAUAAUUAAAUCAGUUUGGUAUUGACCGUCUCUAAAGCAAGUGACAAAGGUUUGAUGAUUGGUAUCCGAGACCCAAGUUCGAAUCCUAGUUGAUUCACAUUUUCAGCUAAGUUUAUUUCUAAAUGAAAUAAAACGAAGCGGGUAGCGUGCUAUCUAU
This 438-nucleotide long non-coding RNA is filed under the name Ananas comosus (pineapple). Its description in RNAcentral is "long non-coding RNA (ACOM_LNC010939)". The record is from RNAcentral. Lineage: Eukaryota; Viridiplantae; Streptophyta; Magnoliopsida; Poales; Bromeliaceae.